Molecule: ribosomal RNA, 471 nt
Filed under: uncultured organism
Description: partial 16S ribosomal RNA
Rfam family: Bacterial small subunit ribosomal RNA
Source: RNAcentral
UACACUCCUGCGGGAGGCAGCAGUGAGGAAUAUUGGACAAUGGGUGGAAGCCUGAUCCAGCCAUCCCGCGUGCAGGAAGACGGCCCUAUGGGUUGUAAACUGCUUUUAUCUGGGGAUAAACCUACUUACGUGUAAGUAGCUGAAGGUACCAGAAGAAUAAGCACCGGCUAACUCCGUGCCAGCAGCCGCGGUAAUACGGAGGGUGCAAGCGUUAUCCGGAUUUAUUGGGUUUAAAGGGUCCGUAGGCGGACUGAUAAGUCAGUGGUGAAAUCCGACAGCUUAACUGUCGAACUGCCAUUGAUACUGUUAGUCUUGAGUAAGGUUGAAGUGGCUGGAAUAAGUAGUGUAGCGGUGAAAUGCAUAGAUAUUACUUAGAACACCAAUUGCGAAGGCAGGUCACUAAGUCUUAACUGACGCUGAUGGACGAAAGCGUGGGGAGCGAACAGGAUUAGAAACCCUUGUAGUCCCAUG